Acanthosepion pharaonis is the source of this 111-nucleotide non-coding RNA. The record is from the annotation of a GenBank genome assembly. NCBI's taxonomy places the organism in Eukaryota, Metazoa, Mollusca, Cephalopoda, Sepiida, Sepiidae.
UUACAGCCAUAUCACAUUGAAACACUGCUUCCUGUGUGAUCAUUGAAGUUAAGCAACGUCAAGCCUGGUCAGUACCUAGAUAGGUGACAGCUUGGGAAUACGAGGUGCUGU